This 306-nucleotide long non-coding RNA is filed under the name Phoenix dactylifera (date palm). RNAcentral's name for it is "long non-coding RNA (PDAC_LNC009616)". Lineage: Eukaryota; Viridiplantae; Streptophyta; Magnoliopsida; Arecales; Arecaceae. The record is from RNAcentral.
AUGAGAGCACAAAAGUGCAAUCGUCAUACCAUCUUAAUUAGUAUUAUAGCUAAUCAUUAAUAAGAAAAUUAACUAAUUAACGUUGUAUUUGUGUUUGAGUGCAAGUAAUCCAAGAAACUUAAUAACAUUGGGUUUGAGCCCAAUGCCCGGCAGCCCGAGCUCAAGUCAAGCCAGCAAUUUCACGUGAUGGAGCUCAGCCCGCGAUGAAAAUCCCAACCGGAGUCCCAGUAAUCACCCAUGAUGCAUCCAAUAUCCAGUGUCCAGCCCGCGUCUCCUUCGACCGAGCAAUCUCCCAGCGCCCAUCAA